RNAcentral lists this unclassified non-coding RNA (346 nucleotides) under soil metagenome. RNAcentral describes it as "partial contains 5.8S ribosomal RNA, internal transcribed spacer 2, and large subunit ribosomal RNA". The stretch from base 1 to 119 matches the Rfam family "5.8S ribosomal RNA", at positions 35 to 154 of the family's 154-position model. The record is from RNAcentral.
GAUGAAGAACGUAGCGAAAUGCGAUACGUAAUGUGAAUUGCAAAUUCAGUGAAUCAUCGAGUCUUUGAACGCACAUUGCGCCCCCUGGUAUUCCGGGGGGCAUGCCUGUCCGAGCGUCAUUGCUGCCCUCAAGCACGGCUUGUGUGUUGGGCCCCGUCCUCCGAUCCCGGGGGACGGGCCCGAAAGGCAGCGGCGGCACCGCGUCCGGUCCUCGAGCGUAUGGGGCUUUGUCACCCGCUCUGUAGGCCCGGCCGGCGCUUGCCGAUCAACACAAAUUUUUUAUCCAGGUUGACCUCGGAUCAGGUAGGGAUACCCGCUGAACUUAAGCAUAUCAAUAAGCGGAGGA